Molecule: ribosomal RNA, 374 nt
Filed under: uncultured organism
Description: partial 16S ribosomal RNA
Rfam family: Bacterial small subunit ribosomal RNA
Source: RNAcentral
GGGAGGGGUGCGAGCGUUAAUCGGAAUUACUGGGCGUAAGGCGCGCGUAGGCGGCAAGGUCAGUCGGGAUGUGAAAGCCCCGGGCUUAACCUGGGAAUUGCAUUCGAAACUGCCCUCGCUAGAGUAUGGGAGAGGGAAGCGGAAUUUCCGGUGUAGCGGUGAAAUGCGUAGAUAUCGGAAGGAACACCAGUGGCGAAGGCGACUUCCUGGCCCAAUACUGACGCUCAGGUGCGAAAGCGUGGGUAGCGAACAGGAUUAGAUACCCUGGUAGUCCACGCCGUAAACGAUGAGAACUAGAUGUCGGGAGGAUUUACCUUUCGGUGUCGCAGCUAACGCAUUAAGUUCUCCGCCUGGGGAGUACGCCGGCAACGGUA